This 154-nucleotide ribosomal RNA is filed under the name uncultured Russula. Its description in RNAcentral is "partial 28S ribosomal RNA". It matches the Rfam family "Eukaryotic large subunit ribosomal RNA", at positions 1 to 151 of the family's 3401-position model. The record is from RNAcentral. Lineage: Eukaryota; Fungi; Basidiomycota; Agaricomycetes; Russulales; Russulaceae.
UUGACCUCAAAUCGGGUGAGACUACCCGCUGAACUUAAGCAUAUCAAUAAGCGGAGGAAAAGAAACUAACAAGGAUUCCCCUAGUAACUGCGAGUGAAGCGGGAAAAGCUCAAAUUUAAAAUCUGGUGGUCUUUGGCCAUCCGAGUUGUAAUUU